This 816-nucleotide ribosomal RNA is filed under the name uncultured bacterium. Its description in RNAcentral is "bacterial SSU rRNA". It matches the Rfam family "Bacterial small subunit ribosomal RNA", at positions 60 to 866 of the family's 1533-position model. The record is from RNAcentral.
AGUCGAACGGCAGCACGGGUGCUUGCACCUGGUGGCGAGUGGCGAACGGGUGAGUAAUGUAUCGGAACGUAUCCGGAAGUGGGGGAUAGCCCGGCGAAAGCCGGAUUAAUACCGCAUAUGCCCUGAGGGGGAAAGUGGGGGACCGCAAGGCCUCACGCUUUCGGAGUGGCCGAUAUCGGAUUAGCUAGUAGGUUAGGUAAAGGCUGACCUAGGCGACGAUCCGUAGCGGGUCUGAAAGGAUGAUCCGCCACACUGGGACUGAGACACGGCCCAGACUCCUACGGGAGGCAGCAGUGGGGAAUUUUGGACAAUGGGGGCAACCCUGAUCCAGCCAUGCCGCGUGAGUGAAGAAGGCCUUCGGGUUGUAAAGCUCUUUCGGACGGAAAGAAAUUGCCAUCUCUAACAUAGGUGGUGGAUGACGGUACCGUAAGAAGAAGCACCGGCUAACUACGUGCCAGCAGCCGCGGUAAUACGUAGGGUGCGAGCGUUAAUCGGAAUUACUGGGCGUAAAGCGUGCGCAGGCGGUUUUGUAAGACAGGCGUGAAAUCCCCGGGCUUAACCUGCGAACUGCGCUUGUGACUGCAAGGCUAGAGUGCGGCAGAGGGGGGUAGAAUUCCACGUGUAGCAGUGAAAUGCGUAGAGAUGUGGAGGAAUACCGAUGGCGAAGCAGCCCCCUGGGUCGACACUGACGCUCAUGCACGAAAGCGUGGGGAGCAACAGGAUUUAGAUACCCUGGUAGUCCACGCCCUAAACGAUGUCAACUACGUGUCGGGGAAGGAGACUUUCUUUACUUACCGCCAGCUAACGCGUGAAGUU